GCUCAGUAACACGUGGUUAAUCUGCCCUAAGGUGGAGGAUACUCCCGGGAAACUGGGGUUAAUACUCCAUAGUUGAUAUAACCUGGAAUGGUAUAUCAUCGAAAGAUCCGUCGCCUUAGGAUGAGACUGCGUCCGAUUAGGUAGUUGGUGGGGUAACGGCCCACCAAGCCUGUCAUCGGUACGGGUUGUGGGAGCAAGAUCCCGGAGAUGGAUUCUGAGACAUGAAUCCAGGCCCUACGGGGCGCAGCAGGCGCGCAAACUUUACAAUGCGAGCAAUCGUGAUAAGGAAACCCUGAGUGCCUGUUGAUGCAGGCUGUUCAUUAGUUUAAAUUGCUGGUGAAGAAAGGGCAGGGCAAGACCGGUGCCAGCCGCCGCGGUAAUACCGGCUGCUCGAGUGAUGGCCACUAUUACUGGGUUUAAAGCGUCCGUAGCUUGAUUGUUAGGUCUCUUGGGAAAUCUUCAGGCUUAACCUUAAGGCAUCUAAGAGAUACCGGCAAUCUUGGGACUGGGAGAGGUAAACCGUACUUCGGGGGUAGGAGUGAAAUCUUGUAAUCCUCGAGGGACGACCUAUGGCGAAGGCAGUUUACCAGAACAGCUUCGACAGUGAGGGACGAAAGCUGGGGGAGCAAACGGGAUUAGAUACCCCGGUAGUCCCAGCCGUAAACAAUGUGCGUUAGGUGUAUCGGCAACCACGCGUUACUGAUGCGCCGCAGAGAAAUCGUGAAACGCACCACCUGGGAAGUAUGGUCGCAAGGCUGAAACUUAAAGGAAUUGGCGGGGGAGCACCACAACAGGUGGAGCCUGCGGUUUAAUUGGAUUC
Molecule: ribosomal RNA, 820 nt
Filed under: uncultured archaeon
Lineage: Archaea
Description: bacterial SSU rRNA
Rfam family: Archaeal small subunit ribosomal RNA
Source: RNAcentral